CACCUGUAAACAUACACGGCCCGAAACGACAUGCAACAGUGCUAGCUAUAGUGCAGUAUAAAUUAUUAUUGAUUUGUUUUAAGUCUUGGCCUGUACAACCGUUCCUUCCUCCAUCGAGUCACAACUGUACAUUAUUUCUGUGUUCUGUCGUCCACGAGUUUUAGUGUGUUGACGGAACUUGAAUAUAUAUUAUUAUUAUAAACUAAGAUGCAGGAGAGGAUAUGAGGCUAUUGAGGGCAUCGUUCCCCUAAACAAUACCAAGAGUCCUUUCUAUUUCGACUGAGAAGAGUUUUCAGGGCAAUAAAACAAUAUGGGUGGCAAGAAGGCAUUCAGUCGGAGUGCCAAAGCUUUACCAAGAGGUCGGAGCAAGAGCCCCAAGAAAGGGGGUAAGAAGAAGUCUCGCUCAGCCUCACCCACAGCUAGGAAACCUGUAGACCUCAUGAGUCCGGCUGCAAUGUCAAACGCAUACUACAUCGCCCAUGGGCCUGUGGACUUCCUAGAAAUCAGGGGAUUUGGCUGGCCAGAUGCCCCCAAAGGGAAGAAAAAGAAGGGAAAGGCAAGAAGAAAAAGAAGUGAGAGUAUUGUAAUUUAGUAAAGAUAUUUAGAUAUGGUAUGGUAAAUAAUUUCAAAUUCCUGAUUCAGAAGUAGAAGGGCCUCAAGUUAAGCUCAGUUUCCAUUAAAAUGAGAUGGGCUGUAAACUCUUUGGUGACAUGAAUAAAAGUGUUAUUAUAUAUAUAGUAACGCCCCAGUUUUCAUUCACAAGCCAAAAUAUACACCAAUUCUAUUAAUAAUGAGAAGUGCUCCAUGUGCUAGUUCGUACUUUGAGGCCCCAAAACAUGCAAUGGAAAGCAAGAUACUUCUCAGAAUGAGAGAGGUCUUAUAAGUCAUUUUUCAGCUAUAGAAUUAAAAUGAUGGGAUUAAUUUAAAUUAGUCAGGAAUUGUUCAGCAAUUGGACAUAACUAAACAUUCUUCAACCAAUGUCUUGCAUAAGAGACAACAUUUCUGAGAAAUCUGGGAAAUUAGCUUUACACAAAGCUCUAAAACUUUAAACACUGUUGAGCUCUGAUUUAUGCGAAGGGCCCUUCUUAUUCUCAACCAACGAUAUGUUUCACAAAAUUUCUCAGUCUAAUAGCUGGAAGUUUACUGGACUGACAGCAUUAUAUUUUGAAAGCUUAUAUCACUGUACUGGCAACCAAGCUACGGUAAAUUACUGUUAUUUUUUAUUUGUAUAAUUAUCAUUCAAUGAAAAUGUAACUUGAGGGCAGUACUUAUGUUAAUUUUAAUUACAAUGGCAUAUAAUAUUAUAAGUAGAUAUACUCAGUUUAUGUAGCUUGUAUUCAUUUGAAUUCUCUUUUUAGCUUAAAGUCUUGUAGUUUUAUAAAGAAACUUCAUUGUAGAGAGAGGAGGAGCUAAAAGAAUAUGCAAUGGGCAUAGUAAACCUCUUGCCUAAUAUGAAUAUGUGUGCAUUAUCAUUGUGAGAUGAUCAAAGCUUUGCAAUGUUUAAUUCACAUUCUACUGCUUUCUUAAAAUAUUUUGUCACAUGAAUGCCUAUAUUAGAACUUCAGCAAAUAUUCUAUUUUUAAAUGAACAUUAGUUUCUCUUGAGAUUACCAAUAGAUACUAGUGCUGUAUUUCUAUUGCAAAAAAACAUUCAAAAAUAUUUUAAUUUUCAGCCUAUAUCGUUUGUCCAACAAGAGAUUAUUACUUAGUACGAUAUUUACAUGUAUGACCUAUCUUUUUGUUUCUUUUCCAUAUUUUGGUUGUGCUAUCUCAGGGGAUAUAUCAUUUAUGGCUCAUUUAACAAUACAUUCAAUUAAUAGGGGUAUAGCAUGCAGCUUAAGAACACUUAAAUGAAGAAUUUAGACAUGGAAUAAAUACUCUUGAACCUAAACUGUAAACUACAUGCUUGGAAAUUAAUGCUGAGAAAGACAUUGGUGGAUCACAUGCAUUAUUCUUCUCAUACAACUGCAGAAGAGAAUUCAAUUAUCCGUCUUUUCAUUACAAACAAACGUUUAGAAAUAUGUUUUUUCAAUAUUUUGUGUUUUUUCAUGCAUUAUUUUUUCCAUUGCCAAGUUUCAAUUAUCUGUACAUUGCUCAAAUAUAUAAGAAUAAGAUUGAAAUGUAUAAGUGUAUUUUUAGGAAGUUUAUUUCUGAAAAUUUUGCCUUAAGGGCAUUAGUGAUCCUUUUUAGUGAGCAAAACAUUAAUAAUGUAUUGAUAGUCCUAUACAUUUUCAGAAAAUGUGCACACAGAAAAAUGUGUACACAGUUACUGCACUAAAGUUUUUUAAUGUUAAUUUGCAUACCUCCAUUAUUGUUUUUAAGUCGGGUACGUUCACUGGUUACAUAGAUCUUACGUGGAUCUUAAUAUAGAUGCUGCUUACUGAUUUUGAAUUCAUAUACUUUUAUACUUUUUAUACAGCAAAAAUCACUAGGAAUAUAAUGACAUCUACCUUUUCAUUUUGCCACACGCUUGUGCUAUAAAGUGUAAGCAUUUGUGAUUUAAGGUUAUGUGAAAUUGUAUUUUUUGAUACUAUGCCCUAUACCUCCAGUCUAAACAUGAUUUUUCUUUACAGUUUAGUUCAUUAAUUUAUAGAAAUUAUGUUUGACAUAUGACUGACUAUUAAAGCUGCAAAUUCCACGCAAGACUCGUGGAUUAAUAUGCCAAAAUCUGUGGUCUGUAUAAUUUUAUAUUCGGGCAACCAAGUGGCAUAAACACAACGACUGUAUUAUCUGUGUGUGUACAUUUAUGUAAUAAAAUUCAUGACAUAUGUAAUCCAAA
Long non-coding RNA from Strongylocentrotus purpuratus (purple sea urchin), 2778 nucleotides. RefSeq lists it as uncharacterized. NCBI's taxonomy places the organism in Eukaryota, Metazoa, Echinodermata, Echinoidea, Camarodonta, Strongylocentrotidae. The record is from RefSeq and is a predicted model, not a curated record. The transcript is spliced from 3 exons.